Molecule: small nucleolar RNA, 143 nt
Organism: Nycticebus coucang (slow loris)
Lineage: Eukaryota; Metazoa; Chordata; Mammalia; Primates; Lorisidae
Product: U8 small nucleolar RNA
Exons: 1
Source: RefSeq, a predicted model, not a curated record
AUCUCAGGGGAGAUAAUCCUUACUUGUUCUUCCUUAUGGAGGGCAGAUUAGAAAAUAAUAAUUAGAGCUCACAUGAUACAUGAUUACACAAGUACAUCUUUGUGAAAUCAGGACUUGCAACGCCCUGAUUGCUCCUAUCUGAU